CUAGGCAAUUGAUUUUGAUCAUUUUAACAACCGGGGGAUCAAGGUGGGCAUUGGUACUGUCGUUUCAUUUCUGGGGAGCCGCCCUCACCAAUUGCCUUCCGUAAGUCGAACUUGGGCUUGGAUUGGUUGAAUACUUCAUAUUUGGGGCUUGGGGCUGAGCACUUUCCAGAAGGGCAGAAGAAAAAGUCUAUAACAGUACUGAUAUUCAUGAGAUUCUAAUAAUAUUCCCUCGAUAUUCUUAUUCCAACAGCCAAGUUCCUCUUCCUUCCAUCUUCCAUUUACGCGGCUUGUUCAUCAAAAUGAGAUUCAAGAAUUACAGAGAUUUCCUCAUAUAGAGCUUCAUGCCUUGUAUUUGGUAAAUUCUGCCAUUUUCAUUGACUGUUGGAAUCGGUAGCCAUUUUGUCUACACUGGUUUUAAAUCCAUUAUCAAAUACACUCAUUGUAAGGAGCCAUAGGUUAUAGGUAAGUUGAUAUUGAAGCCAGGAUAAAUUAUGUGUUGUUCCUCUUUACUGUUUAUAUUAAUUUGUUAGUGAUUGUUUGCUUUACUGAUUUCAUAAAAAAGAAAAUUUUACAUUGAACUAUCUUAGGAAAGCCAAGCACUGCUGAAAACUCGUUUUGGUUUUUUAUGUAUACAUUAGUUGCCUCUUUUUAUAUCUCCUUCCUUGUCUUUCAGGAAUUUUUAUAUACCUGAUAGCAAUUCUGCAAUUGAUAACGUUGAAUUCCCAGUUAUUGAAAAUUAUGUUUUUACAGUACUUUGAAA
Molecule: long non-coding RNA, 760 nt
Organism: Mangifera indica (mango)
Lineage: Eukaryota; Viridiplantae; Streptophyta; Magnoliopsida; Sapindales; Anacardiaceae
Exons: 2
Source: RefSeq, a predicted model, not a curated record